UAGCGAUGGGGAUGCAAGGAGAAGCUGCUGUGGUUUCAAGGGGCCGUGAGGAUGCCCACCAUGAAGGCGUGUCUGGGAUGAUGGAGGUGAUAUCCGCCAGGUCCCCGUUGCCGUCGACUGGCGGCGGCCACCGUCUCCUCUUCCAUGGCGUCGUCGGGGCCUUCCCCUGCCAAGCGUAGCGGCUCCUUGGCUGGAUCACCGUCGCACACCUCACCGGCGUGGUCGGCAAGAUCUGCAUCUCGAUCCUCGCCACUCUCCAUCCUCUUGCAGGUUUAUAAAUUUCGAAAUAUAGUUGCAGCUUCACGGAAUGGACGGCCCAAAUUAUGUUAGUGUCUAUAUGUUUACUUGGUGGUGGUCUAGCGUGAGUGACACCUGCAUCUGUAACUUACCCAUUGGAUGUUCUUCGAAAUCACCUGACAACACAGAAAACCACUAGGUAUUACAAGGGCAUCUUUCACACGUUGUCUACAAUUUGUAGAGAAGAGAAUAGUAGAGGAUUGUAUAAAGGCCUUUGGUCCACCUUAUUGGGAGUUGGACCUGAUAUAUCAAUCAACGUUUAUGUAUAUGAAUCCUUGAGGUCUCAUUGGAAAAUGGAAAGUUGAAUGUCAAACUGUGCGACCAAUGAUUUGAUAUGGUACCUCCCUCUUCUCUCUUCUAUGAACCCUAUAA
Triticum aestivum (bread wheat) is the source of this 669-nucleotide long non-coding RNA. RefSeq lists it as uncharacterized. The record is from RefSeq and is a predicted model, not a curated record. Lineage: Eukaryota; Viridiplantae; Streptophyta; Magnoliopsida; Poales; Poaceae. The transcript is spliced from 4 exons.